UUGCCCAUGUACUCGUAAGGUAUCCCUAAAUCUUUAGCCUCUUCUUGAUCAGGGUUUCCCCAUUCCUUUAGUAUUUCUAAUAAAUAGAAGCAGAUAUAGUUAACCGAAGGCCUUUUGACUGUUAUAGUUUCUCUCUUGGACUCUUCUCACGAAUUGGAUUCGAACCACCACAACCAAGAAGGCCCUACUUGACCAAGCAAAUAGAAGAUCGUGAGUUCUUAGGAACACACACACCUCUAUUAGGGGAUCGGCUCGAACGCUGAACUUACCACUUUGAGCCCCCGAUAGAAGGCUU
This 295-nucleotide long non-coding RNA is filed under the name Gossypium barbadense (sea-island cotton). RNAcentral's name for it is "long non-coding RNA (GBAR_LNC012594)". The record is from RNAcentral. Lineage: Eukaryota; Viridiplantae; Streptophyta; Magnoliopsida; Malvales; Malvaceae.